UGCUUGCUGAUUUGUCAGUCCAGGGUACGGACAAACCCCUAAGCUGAAGGUCUCCCAGAGAAGGAUGCCAAAGCUCCACACGUCACUCUCUGAACUGUAUCUCCCUGGAAGGGGAACAACAACCAUAACCAGCCUACUAUUGCCCAGUCCUGAGUCACACUUUGGGAGACACAAUAGUGCUCCUGGCCUCUUCAUAGAUGAAACUGCUAGAGAAUAAUCAGCAUGAGCCUCUGUGUUACAGACUGCAAAUCCUAUAGGAAUUCGGAGCAGAGGGAGAUCCCACUGGAGGCUUGGAUGCCUCAACCACUGAGUCCGUUUACUAUACUGGAGUAAGGUUCCUCUCUACGGAGAAACAGAGGCCUGCGGUGAUUCCCUUUAAUGAGGUUGCUGCCUGAUGGCUGGGACACAAAACAACCAAGUUGUUGCCUGACAAGAUGACUGAAUGGGAACCACUUAUGAAAAAUACUGUAAGUCAUCUGGCUUUCCUUAUAAUGGCCAUGCUCAGCACAGAGAAGUAUUUGCUUUGUGUCUCAUUUCCUUGGGUGACUUCCCUAUAAGAGAAUUCUGGUUGGACAUGUACAAGUGCAAAUUCCACAUAUUCUUUUCUUUAAGCUUAGAAAUCAUAUUCCUAGAUAGUUAAAGAAAGGGAACUCAUACUAAAUAUGAAUGUUGAAGAUAACUUGGAACCAAAUACAUAGUGAUAAAGCUUGUCUUAAAUUUACCCCCUAAAACCCAAGGGGACCUUUCUUUGCAUUUAAUUACUGUGAUUAAUCUGGAUGGUUUAUAGUUUAUGAAAUGGCUGCAAAAUUUGUAUAAUCAGAUAUAAAUCUCUCUCAAUGUUUUCUGCUCCCUAUCACCUGUGGACCACAUUGUGAAGUGAGAUACCAAAUCUCCAGAGACUACCUCUGGGCACAAAUUUUAAAUCGGUAAUGAUCUAUUGUGAAACCUCUUAAUAAAGAUUCUGGACUAGAGCAACUUGGUGGGGGUACAGAUUAAAAACAUUUAAGUAAAUGUUUUAAUCUUUUCAGUUCACGAAAACAUCAAAUAUCACUGGGUAAUUUAAUAACAAAAUUGAGCUUUGUCUUAAGCAAACAAAUUAAAGGCCAUUAGCUGUCCAAGGCUACAAUAAAAUGCACUGCAGGGACUUGGCUCAGAAGUUAGCCUCAGUAUUGAUGGUGAGAGCCUCUACUCCUAAAAACCUUCUGAAAUAUCCACCCACUCCCAUUCUGAGACUAUGAAGUACAAACAGAAGCUACUUGCCUGAAUGGCAAAUAACAUAACAUAAAAUGUUAUACUUGGAUGCAAUAAGUUACUCUGAGCAACAGACAGAAAAAAGUGACAAAACCCCUCCUUAUUGAAUAGCCAUCAUGAUAAUAGUUAUCAUUUAUUGAGUGCCUUAUAUGUACCAGAUACUAUUUGAAAUGUCUUUUAUAUAACCUAUGCUCUUUCAGUACUCAACUUCAUGCAUACUAAGCUGUACACUAAACACUUCCACAGAUUUUUUUGCAUAAGCAAUGAUGCAAACAUUUGCAUUGUUGGAAGUUCUGGACUAGGGAUUAUAAGAGUUCUCACCUGGUGUUUUCUUUAAUAAGCUGUAUAAGCUUAUAUAUUACACAUUUUCCUGGACCUUGGAAAUGAGAGCACCAGUUCUUGAUUUCUUGAGCAUGAGGGCUACUGAGUAAUGUCAAACAAUUUUAUGAUUCCUUUGCACUGCACAUCAAUCCUGAUGUCACGUUUUAUAAUGGCUGACAGCAAAAAUACAACAUGAUGAAAAGCUACUAAGAAUGACAAUGUUUUGAAGUGAAUUUAUACUAAUCACAACAGUAAAAGGAUAUUGCAUAUAGAUAGAUAUAUGCAAGACAUUUUUCUGCAUCAGAUGAUGCUUGAUGCACACUUGGAACACUUGCAAUAAUUUGGAGGAACUAGGGGUCCAUGGUGCACCAGCUGGUGGCCAGUAUACAACCCUUUCAAUUCUAACAUUUAUACUCCAGGUUAAAGGUAUUGUCUUCCUGAAACUAGCCAGAUGAAUCUAGCCUCACAGAGGUGGUGGAUGGUCCUGGCAAAGAGCUUUCCAUGUUGUCAGUACAACAGUGGGUGUCAGCUAACAAAUGCAAGUCACAUUCAAAGGGUUAAGUUAGAAGAGUUCCACUACCCAGGAGCUCAGCUAUCACAAUGCAGGUAUCCCCUCACUUGCCUUUGCUAAAUAACUGUGGGUUACAACCAAGAAAUCAUACUUCCCAACCCUAUAAAAAUAUUGGUAAUCAUUGGAAGACACCUGUUAUGUAUCAGGCACAAUGCUAGGAACUUAACCUAUUAUCCCUAAUCCUAACAAUCACACUCAGAGACAUAGAUGUCUUUAUAUAUGGAUACAGAAACAGGCUCAAAAAUUAAAUAGCCUGCCCAAGAUCACAUAGCUCGUAAGUGGCUGAGUAUGGGAUCUGUCUUGCUCCAAAGCCCUGGUUCUUUAUUUUCCACAGUGUUGAGUGUUCUUUUGGUUUCUUUGAAAUAGUAUUCAUUUUAUCUUGAUACAGUUAUACUCUUUAAUCCCUGAGUAGGUUUCUGCCAUUUUGUUCCUGAGAACUGUUUUCUUUUCCAUUUAAGUUUAGUGAAAUAAAGCCCCUGACUUGGUGCUUAGGCUAUGGAAUAUAUUGGAAGGACUAAAACAGGCAUUAUUUUUUCUACUCUAUUUUCUAUAAGAGCAUAUAACAAUUCCUCCGUAAUUUGUUAUGGUUUAUAAUUUCAUGAAGUGAUAUAGUCACACUAAGACCUAAAUUAUGAUAUAAAAGGCACAUAAAGGUAGAGAGCAACUGUGUAAUCUGUGAUGCACAAGGUGCUAUAAGGAGCCUCAGGAUCAUUUAAAUUUUUAUAGUCUGCAAAAUGUUCAGCUACUAAUGAACAAAUACACUCAAUUACAGUAGAAUGCACCUAGAUUUAGAUGCUGAAUGAUCUGCAGUGAUUAACUCUUUGUAGUAUUUUCUUCAAUAAUGGGCUGUGUCCCCGAAAUUCUCCCAACCAGACAGAGCUACAUGGUCAGCUUGCACAUUUACCACUGGUUUGGGAAUGUUUAACUGACUCCUAGGCCACACUCCUGAGUGGCAGAUGGCAAAUUCCUCAUCUGACAUAUCAUCACAAAAAGCAUUUUUAGAAUAGUUUUGGUCCCUGUAUACAAAGGGGAAACAUAUUUAUUGUAGCACCAGUAUUCCGUUAAUGGAAAACAGUUUUCAAUAUUUAUAGAAAUUCAAAAGAUGCAAUGAUUUUCUUUUAUG
Long non-coding RNA from Callithrix jacchus (white-tufted-ear marmoset), 3266 nucleotides. RefSeq lists it as uncharacterized. The record is from RefSeq and is a predicted model, not a curated record. NCBI's taxonomy places the organism in Eukaryota, Metazoa, Chordata, Mammalia, Primates, Cebidae.